This 1357-nucleotide long non-coding RNA is filed under the name Callithrix jacchus (white-tufted-ear marmoset). Its description in RNAcentral is "lncRNA (ENSCJAG00000070953.1)". The record is from RNAcentral. Lineage: Eukaryota; Metazoa; Chordata; Mammalia; Primates; Cebidae.
GAUCUGUAUAGGGUUUAGUGCUGUCUGUGGUUUUAAGGAUUCGGUGGGGUCUUGAAAUAAAUCCCCCACAGACAGGGAAAGACUACUGGGUAAUGAAACUAAAGUUGUUGUCAGGAAAUCAUGUUUUGUUCUUAUUUCCUCCAUUUCUAUCAUGUAAGUACAAAAAUAAUGAAAGUUUUUAAGGCAAAGUAUUGAGUACAGUUAGAAACCAUGGUCAACUGCUCCUCCUUAAAACUCCUGGGAUUUUCUCACACAUUGCCUUCCUAGUUCUCCUUUAACUUAUUUAAGCAGAAUUCCAUUUAAUCUGUUACGUUUCUUGUUGCUCUAUGCAUUCUCACCUCAUUGAAUUUAUUCAUAUUGUGUUUUUUAUCUUGAGCUAUCUUCCUGUAUUUUAUUUUUGGUUUACUCAAUAACCUGACUGUAACACAAUUAAUAAAAUUUUAUAAUAAUGUCUAGUUUUACAUAAAAUAAUUGAAGAUGCUAUGAAGUCAUAAAAUGUAGAAUUGGAUUCUAAAUGUCCUUUCAUUCAUUUUUCCUGUGGCAGUACUGGCGAAGGUAGCUGCAUAACUGGGGAUGACGGGAACGGGAGAAUCAGCUAUGAGAGAUUUCCAGCCAUGAUGGAAACAAUGCUGUCCCGGGCAGUGACAGUGUCUAAGACAGAAAAUGAAAGUGCAGAAACAACUUUUGAAAUUUCCGGGUCAUGUUUGCCACUGCUGAAUUGAAUAAAAAGUCACAAGUCAAGUGCGCUGAGGCCAUCUGGGAGCCCACCAUUCAAGGCCAUAGAUGCAGGUAAGGUGAAAACUUGGGGCCAUUAUUGCAAUUGAUCUACCAUAACUCCCUUUUCAGGGGUUGCUCUAACCACCUGUGAUAUGAAACUGAAGAUGAAGUCUGAGAUGCUGAGUGGUGGAUGAGGGAACAUAGAAUAAGAGUGAUGAGCUGACAUUGCUUCUGGGGAUGACUGGUGGAGGACAGCCUCAAAUGGAACUGAUCACUUCUACCAAAAUGUCUGAUUAACUUGCUUUUCACUGCUUCUCCUCAUAUUUUUCAGUAGUCACACCAAUCAAUCACUGUGUCACUAUAUUACCUAAAGUAUUUGGAGCACAUACUUAAAGAAACUAGUCAUUGAUUCUACUGAUCCCUAAUUUUAUUAUUAUCUCUUAGUCUCUUGUAUAUGAGAUAAAAGUAUUUUGAAAGGGUAAACGUUGGUGAAAACAGUUAGUAGAGGUGAUUUGUGGAGAAGUAUUUUUAUUUUUACCUUCCAAUAGGAUUAUCUCACAGUGUUUGUAAUGUGUAGAAAUACCUGAAAGGCUUUAAUAUGAGUAAAUAAUUUAAAAAGUAAAAAAUGUCAAUAAUAUUU